RNAcentral lists this ribosomal RNA (480 nucleotides) under uncultured bacterium. RNAcentral describes it as "bacterial SSU rRNA". It matches the Rfam family "Bacterial small subunit ribosomal RNA", at positions 19 to 518 of the family's 1533-position model. The record is from RNAcentral.
CUGGCUCAGGAUGAACGCUGGCGGCGUGCUUCAUACAUGCAAGUCGAACGAGAAUUGGUAGCUUGCUACCAAGGAAAGUGGCGGACGGGUGAGUAAUACAUAGGGAAUCUGCCCUUAGCUGGGGGACAACAGUUAGAAAUGACUGCUAAUACCGCAUAUGAGAUAGAUUGAGAUAUUUAUCUUGAAAACUCCGGUGGCUAAGGAUGAGCCUGUGCCUGAUUAGUUAGUUGGCGGGUAAAGGCCCACCAAGGCGACGAUCAGUAGCUGGUUUGAGAGGAUGAUCAGCCACAAUGGGACUGAGACACGGCCCAUACUCCUACGGGAGGCAGCAGUAGGGAAUUUUGCGCAAUGGGCGAAAGCCUGACGCAGCCAACGCCGCGUGAUUGAUGAAGCCCUUAGGGGUGUAAAGAUCUGUCAGUAGGGACGAAGAAUGACUGUACCUACAGAGGAAGCACCGGCUAACUCCGUGCCAGCCGCAGC